This 433-nucleotide ribosomal RNA is filed under the name uncultured bacterium. Its description in RNAcentral is "partial 16S ribosomal RNA". It matches the Rfam family "Bacterial small subunit ribosomal RNA", at positions 29 to 507 of the family's 1533-position model. The record is from RNAcentral.
AACGAACGCUGGCGGCAUGCCUAACACAUGCAAGUCGAACGAGACCUUCGGGUCUAGUGGCGCACGGGUGCGUAACGCGUGGGAACCUGCCCUUAGGUUCGGAAUAACUCCCCGAAAGGGGUGCUAAUACCGGAUAAUGUCUUCGGACCAAAGCUUUAUCGCCUUUGGAUGGGCCCGCGUUGGAUUAGCUAGUUGGUAGGGUAAACGCCUACCAAGGCGACGAUCCAUAGCUGGUCUGAGAGGAUGAUCAGCCACACUGGGACUGAGACACGGCCCAGACUCCUACGGGAGGCAGCAGUGGGGAAUAUUGGACAAUGGGCGAAAGCCUGAUCCAGCAAUGCCGCGUGAGUGAUGAAGGCCUUAGGGUUGUAAAGCUCUUUUACCCGGGAUGAUAAUGACAGUACCGGGAGAAUAAGCUCCGGCUAACUCCGUG